Molecule: long non-coding RNA, 280 nt
Organism: Drosophila persimilis
Lineage: Eukaryota; Metazoa; Arthropoda; Insecta; Diptera; Drosophilidae
Exons: 2
Source: RefSeq, a predicted model, not a curated record
GACAUAACAAGAUAAAACACAAACUAAAUUUCAAAUCUGCAAUGCUUCGAAGGACCCAUGGGAGGAAUUAUUUGGGAUCAUACACAAGAGCAACGCCUGGGUUUAGUACCUAUGCAACAGGUUCUGCUUUUAACACGCAACGUAUCUCAAUAGGACAUGGCAAUGGUAUGUGCACAUAUUUAUCAGUAACUUACAUACCGGGUUAUGCGCUGACCAACUUGCUGCGGAUCAGCGCAGAUAGCUUUGGGAUGUAAAUGGAUAAAGUCUUACGUAUCUAUUA